AUCGCUUCUCGGCCUUUUGGCUAAGAUCAAGUGUAGUAUACUAUGUGCUAGGCAUUUGCCUGCAGGAUUCAGAUUCAUUAGGAAGAAAUGGUAAAUCAGAAGGAAUUUUGGAAAGCUUUUUUUUUUUGAAAGAAUGGACCUUAU
This 144-nucleotide small nuclear RNA is filed under the name Moschus moschiferus (Siberian musk deer). Its description in RNAcentral is "U2 spliceosomal RNA (ENSMMSG00000011059.1)". It matches the Rfam family "U2 spliceosomal RNA". From Rfam's summary of the family: U2 is a small nuclear RNA (snRNA) component of the spliceosome (involved in pre-mRNA splicing). The record is from Rfam by way of RNAcentral. Lineage: Eukaryota; Metazoa; Chordata; Mammalia; Artiodactyla; Moschidae.